UACGUAGGGUGCAAGCGUUAAUCGGAAUUACUGGGCGUAAAGCGUGCGUAGGUGGUUUGUUAAGUCAGGUGUGAAAUCCCCGGGCUCAACCUGGGAACUGCGCUUGAUACUGGCAGACUAGAGUGUGGUAGAGGGUAGUGGAAUUCCCGGUGUAGCGGUGAAAUGCGUAGAUAUCGGGAAGAACAUCAGUGGCGAAGGCGGCUACCUGGACCAACACUGACACUGAGGCACGAAAGCGUGGGGAGCAAACAGG
This 253-nucleotide ribosomal RNA is filed under the name uncultured bacterium. RNAcentral describes it as "partial 16S ribosomal RNA". It matches the Rfam family "Bacterial small subunit ribosomal RNA", at positions 524 to 776 of the family's 1533-position model. The record is from RNAcentral.